UACGUAGGGUGCAGGCGUUGUCCGGAAUUAUUGGGCGUAAAGAGCUCGUAGGCGGCUUGUCGCGUCGGUUGUGAAAGCCCGGGGCUUAACUCCGGGUCUGCAGUCGAUACGGGCAGGCUAGAGUGUGGUAGGGGAGAUCGGAAUUCCUGGUGUAGCGGUGAAAUGCGCAGAUAUCAGGAGGAACACCGGUGGCGAAGGCGGAUCUCUGGGCCAUUACUGACGCUGAGGAGCGAAAGCGUGGGGAGCGAACAGG
This 253-nucleotide ribosomal RNA is filed under the name uncultured bacterium. RNAcentral describes it as "partial 16S ribosomal RNA". It matches the Rfam family "Bacterial small subunit ribosomal RNA", at positions 524 to 776 of the family's 1533-position model. The record is from RNAcentral.